This 253-nucleotide ribosomal RNA is filed under the name uncultured bacterium. Its description in RNAcentral is "partial 16S ribosomal RNA". It matches the Rfam family "Bacterial small subunit ribosomal RNA", at positions 524 to 776 of the family's 1533-position model. The record is from RNAcentral.
UACGGGGGGAGCUAGCGUUGUUCGGAAUUACUGGGCGUAAAGCGUGCGCAGGCGGCUUCUCAAGUCAGGGGUGAAAGCCCAGAGCUCAACUCUGGAAUUGCCUUUGAGACUGAGUGGCUUGAGUACGAGAGAGGUGAGUGGAAUUCCCAGUGUAGAGGUGAAAUUCGUAGAUAUUGGGAAGAACACCGGUGGCGAAGGCGGCUCACUGGCUCGUAACUGACGCUCAUGCACGACAGCGUGGGGAUCAAACAGG